GGUGAGGUAACGGCUCACCAAGGCAAUGACGGGUAGCCGGACUGAGAGGUUGGCCGGUCACACUGGGACUGAGACACUGCCCAGACUCCUACGGGAGGCUGCAGUCGAGAAUCUUCCGCAAUGGGCGCAAGCCUGACGGAGCGACGCCGCGUGGAGGAUGAAGGCCUUCGGGUUGUAAACUCCUGUCACGAGUUAUGAAACGCCAUGCGAUAACACCGUAUGGUUUGACGAAGGCUCGAGAGGAAGUCAUGGCUAACUCCGUGCCAGCAGCCGCGGUAAUACGGAGAUGGCAAGCGUUGCUCGGAAUCACUGGGCAUAAAGGGCGUCUAGGCGGAUCGACAAGUCGGCUGUGAAAGUCCUCGGCUCACCCGAGGAAGUGCAGCCGAAACUGGCGGUCUUGAGGACGAGAGGGGAGAGUGGAACUCCUGGUGGAGCGGUGAAAUGCGUAGAUAUCAGGAGGAACGCCGGUGGCGAAAGCGACUCUCUGGCUCGUUUCUGACGCUGAAGCGCGAAAGCUAGGAGAGCGAACGGGAUUAGAUACCCCGGUAGUCCUAGCCGUAAACGAUGAGCACUAAGUAGUGGCGUAUCGAUGACGUCAUUGCCGCAGCUAAUGUGUUAAGUGCUCCGCCUGGGGAGUAUGGUCGCAAGGCUAAAACUCAAAGGAAUUGACGGGGGCUCACACAAGCGGUGGAGGAUGUUGCUUAAUUCGAAUCAACGCGAAGAACCUUACCUGGGCUUGACAUCACGGUGGUAGGACCCUGAAAGGGGAACGACCCGGGGCAACCUGGGAGCCGCGACAGGUGUUGCAUGGCUGUCGUCAGCUCGUGCCGUGAGGUGUUGGGUUAAGUCCCGUAACGAGCGAAACCCUUGUCGUUAGUUGCCAGCGAGUAAUGUCGGGGACUCUAACGAGACUGCCGGUGUCAAACCGGAGGAAGGUGGGGACGACGUCAAGUCAUCAUGGCCCUUACGCCCAGGGCUGCAAACGUCCUACAAUGGCGCGUACAAAGGGAAGCGAACUCGCAAGGGCAAGCCAAUCCCAUAAAGCGCGUCCCAGUUCGGAUUGUGGGCUGAAAUUCGCCCACAUGAAGUCGGAAUCGCUAGUAAUCGCGGAUCAGCAUGCCGCGGUGAAUAUGUUCCUGAGCCUUGUACACACCGCCCGUCAAGCCACGGAAGCCGGGAGUGCCCGAAGCCCGUGACCUAACCUUUGGAAGGAGCGGUCGACGGUAAGCCCGGUGACUGGGACUAAGUCGUAACAAGGUA
Molecule: ribosomal RNA, 1260 nt
Filed under: metagenome
Description: bacterial SSU rRNA
Rfam family: Bacterial small subunit ribosomal RNA
Source: RNAcentral